RNAcentral lists this ribosomal RNA (1143 nucleotides) under Triticum aestivum (bread wheat). Its description in RNAcentral is "partial small subunit ribosomal RNA". Lineage: Eukaryota; Viridiplantae; Streptophyta; Magnoliopsida; Poales; Poaceae. The record is from RNAcentral.
CUAGCUUGUAAUGUAGAUGCAUUAGCAUGCUCCACUGGUCCAACUGAUCCACGACCGUCAAGGAGAGGUCGUGGACGUAGACCAACGAUGGGGCAUGGGCUUCAGGAGUAUGCAAGCAGAAAUGGAGGGAGGAAAAUGCGUAUUGAUUUUACAACAGGGAAAGUGAGACCUAUAGACCCAGUCCAAGCAUCAAAGCUUUCUUCUGAGUGUGGUAUCCACAUCAGGAGCAGAAUGCAUGUUGCUAGGCACUGGAAUGACUAUGCCAAAAGCCCACUCAAACAUGUUAUUCCCCAUGCUAUUAAAGAUAUCGCGCUUAACUUUGAGAUGGAAAAGGAUGACAAGGUUGGGAAUGAUGUAUGCACAAAAAAGAAAUACUUCAAUGGUUAUACUGCUCAGGAAGCAUUAUCAAAUAAGCCAGCGAACAUUACUCAUGAGAAUUGGACCAGCCUUGUCAAUAAAUGGUCCGAUGAGAGAAGCAAGAAAAUAUGUCAAAUGAACAAGGAAAACCGAGAAGCUGUCAAGCAUCACCAAAAGACUGGAUCUAUGUCUUAUGUUGCCUAUUUCAGCAAACUUAAAAAAGACAAGUACAAUAAUCAGGACCCAAGUCCUAUUGAGUUUUUCAAAGACACCCAUAUAAACAGCAAGACUGGUAGCAUGAGCGAGCCGGCACUUCUAGCUCAUAAUGCAAUGGAAAAUAAAAGAGAAGCACAAUCAGAAGGUGAGCAGCCAGUAUCCGAUACAGCAAUUGUGGCUGAAGUUCUAAAGGAAGAAAGCGCCCAUAGCAGCUUCCUUUCCAGCAUGGGGUAUGCAUCAAGAUCCAGGAGGUCUGGGAGCUCUACUUCAUCAGCCCAGAUCCGAGUUUUAGAAGAAAGAAUUGAACAGAAGGAUAGAGAGGCAAAAGAUGCAAAUGACAGGCAUCGGGAGGAGUUAGCCACAAGACUUCAAGCACAAGAGAGAGCAUUUCAAGAGAUACAGAAGAAUCAGCAAGAAGAAUUGGAAGCUCUAAAGAAGAGCCAGCAAGAGAAGAAUGAAGCCUGGGCAAAGAAGCAAAAGGAGAUGGAUAAUCUGCUUGAUUUUCUCUUGAGGGCUCAAGCAACUCAGCAAGCAACUCAGCAGUCCCAGUCUAAACCAGAUGGUUCAUGA